RNAcentral lists this long non-coding RNA (875 nucleotides) under Phoenix dactylifera (date palm). Its description in RNAcentral is "long non-coding RNA (PDAC_LNC006085)". Lineage: Eukaryota; Viridiplantae; Streptophyta; Magnoliopsida; Arecales; Arecaceae. The record is from RNAcentral.
GGUCUAGGGAACUUUUCAUUUGCAUAGCAGGGGUUCCAAAACAUUUUCAUAUUAUGUCAAGUAGAUCUUCAUAACUUGAUAUAUAAAGCAAUUUUUAUAAUCUCCUUCAUGAACAUCCUUUUUGACAUCAUAUGAUUAGUUGAACUUACUGAGGAACAUAAACUAUCGAUAGAAAAAUAGUUAAAUAUCAAAAUUAGUUCUAGACCAUAUGCACAUUCUUACAAAAUGCAUGGUCCACCUCUUAAAAUGGACCUAUAUUUAAUACACAUGAAACUAGUUUAUAUCAUCCAAAUUAUGCAAUUAGGAAUAACAUAAUACUUUUUCUCAUUGAAUUUAAAGUAUUAUUUUCAUCAAGUCUUGCUAAUGUAAUGAUGAUACAGGAGAUCUUGCCACAUCAAUGUUACAUAUUUGAGUUCUAUAAACUAGGUUUCUAGAGAGCUUGGUGGGAAAAGGUCUGAUUUAUUAUGCUUUGCAAGUUCAAUUUUGAUUCAUUAGAAAGCAUAUGAGCCAGGUGUUUGUUAAACAAAAAAGAAGGAACUUAACUUUUUUAACACUGGAGUUUGAAUGAAUAUUUGACACAUUAAGCAAGAAAAUGAAGCCAUUAUCUUUAUGAAAACCCGUGGAGCAUUUAUCAACUACAAACGUUUUUAAAUCUUAUAUUAGAUUAUGUAUGGAAGUUAAACAAUUAAUCUAUGUGCCUUUAAAAAUUUAAAACAUAUUAUUAUAUGACAGGAAAGGCUCAAGAAUUUAGUGCGUGAAGUGGACUUCCGAGCCUCCCAUGUUACAACUGGCGAGAGAGCUAAAUGUCUUGGAGUGGAGAGAGAGCGAGCCUCGACAUGCACUUGAGGCAAAACCCUCCGAUGCCGCACCCAAAA